This is an RNA transcript of Felis catus (domestic cat), 2214 nucleotides long. It is a transcript of the gene named cytochrome c oxidase assembly factor 8, with no coding region annotated. Lineage: Eukaryota; Metazoa; Chordata; Mammalia; Carnivora; Felidae. The record is from RefSeq and is a predicted model, not a curated record. The transcript has 3 exons.
AUGGCGAGGUGGAAGGUCAGCCCUUUACGGGGUGCGGCACCGGAGCUGAGCCCCUGGCUGCAUCCCCCUCACCCCAGCCGGCUAGGUCUGAACCGGGCGGCCGGUGAAGGGGCCGGCGGUGGCGCGGCAGCUACUGGCCGCAGCGGCCGCUCCGGGCGUCUCGCCCGGGUCCCCAACGCGCCCGCCGGCCCUGACCUCACAAUGGCCAGCGCGGGGAGGGGGCGGCCGCUCUGGGCCGGGGCCGCGGAGCCCCCGGGCGGGAGGAGGCCCCGGGAGGGAGGCGAGCGGGCCGGCCCGCGUCGGACGCGAGGACGGCGCGGCGCCGAGGCCCGGCCGGCCGGGCCGGAGCGGGGGUCGCGCCGGGGCCGGGGUCGCCCACGGGCCCGCCAGCCGCCGCCGCGCCGCGCUCACCUGUGCCGCCCGCGCCAUCGCGCGCUCCGCCGCCGACGCCCAGCGACUCCGCCGCUCCCGCGGUCGCCGGCCCGCGGCCCCGCCCCGGGGCCGAACAGCCCCCGCCCUGGGAAAACGUCCUCCGGCACCGCGCCGCGCCGCGCCCGGGCCGCGCCGGCCGCUAUCGCCUGGCACAACAGCCCGGAACUGCCGCGGCCCAAGAGCGGCCGCCGGCGCCCUGCGCCCCCGCCGGGUCCACCCCGCGGCCGGUGCCACGCUGGGAAAGCGCACCGUCGGCCGCGCCGCUCCCUCCCGCCGGCUUUGCGACCGUGCCGUAACGCAGCCGCUCGCGCCGGCGCGACUCUGCCGUGCGCCGCGGCCGCCGGGGGACGCGGGCGAUGGCCGCCUUGCGGCCCCGUAGGAGGGCUCUGGUCUCUCCGCUCUGCCGCGCCUUCUCUGGACCAGGCUGUCAGCUCGCUCCCGAGCGAGCUGGGGAGCGCAGGGAUACGGCGCCGAGCCGGUCCUUUAGGUACUGCUGAAUACGGAAUGCUGAUGUGUCUACGUCUGUCUAGAAUGGGAGGCUGGGAUCCCAACCCUCCAGAAGGAAGACUUUCGGCUCCCAGCCCCGAAGUGUCAGGACUGCGGACCUGCAGGGACACCACGUUUUGCCAGCAUCUGUUCCUCUCAUCGUUGCCCACCGCUUUCCCCAGGGGGGUAGUGUGACGCCUUCACUCGGGAGCUUCGUGUUCUGUGCAGGCACUUCCGGGAAGGAGGGCCUAGGGGAAAGUCUUUGGUUCCAAAUCCUGGCUCCUCGUGGGGAGGUGGGCCCGGGACUGUGCCCGGAGAGCCCAGGAGCCUGCUGUAAGCGGGACGGACGGGGUGGAGAAGGAGGCUGGGCCUGCAGAGCUGGAGGAGGAGAAGCCCCCCGCGGGGCUGCCUGGCUGGCAGUUUACAUAGAAAGAGAAAAAACGGGAGGGGUUGUUCCCUCCCAGACACGGUGAUGAGCGCUCAGUGUGACAAGUACCUACACGCACGUUCCUUUCCUUGCCCUGGCUGCUCGCCAGCAGAGCUGAUGGGUUCUAGCCUGCGCGGCCCCCGCCUCCUGUCCCGCCCGAGACAGCCACUCCACUGUGAGGAAGCCGUGCGUUCCAUGCUGCUGCUGUGACAGCCGUAAAUUACGAAAUUCCUGGGUAGUCAGCCGCUUCCUCCACCCCCACGCCCGUUCUAUCCUGCGAGCGAUGGGCUGCGAAUAGGAUCCCGCGGCGGGCGGCCUGUUGGUGUGGCUCUUUCAGUCAGCAGAAGGUACCUGAGAUCCAUCACGUGCUGCCUGCUGUUGAGAGUGUCGCGCUCUGUCGUUGACGAGCACCGUUGUGUGGGCCACACUGGUUUUGCCAUUUACCAGUGGGAGGACGACGCGUAGGCUGCUUCCAGAUUUUGGCAAUUUUAAAUAAAACCACUUUUCGCAGCCACAUACAGGUUUUUGUGUGAGCAUAUGUAUUUACUCAUCUUGGAUAAAUACCUAGGAGUGGUGUCAGAUUGUGCGUUAGGUGUGUGUUUAAUUGUGUCACGGACUGCCAGCCUUUUUUCCAAAGUGGCUGCACCAUUGUGCAUUUCCACCAGCAACAUAUAAAAGCUCACUUGUUUUACAUCUUUGACCACACUCGUUAUCGUCAGAUGUCUUUGUGGGUUAUUUUAGGCGUAUAAAAAGGUGUGGUGUGAGGUGGUAUCUCACUGUGGGUUUGAUUUGCAUUUCCCAGUGAGUUGUGAUGUUGAGCAUGCUUUUAUCCAUAUGUCUUCUUCGGAGAAAGCUUUAUUUGGCCACUU